Molecule: ribosomal RNA, 368 nt
Filed under: uncultured organism
Description: bacterial SSU rRNA
Rfam family: Bacterial small subunit ribosomal RNA
Source: RNAcentral
CGGAGGGUGCAAGCGUUAUCCGGAUUCACUGGGUUUAAAGGGUGCGUAGGUGGGUUGGUAAGUCAGUGGUGAAAUCUCCGUGCUUAACAUGGAAACUGCCAUUGAUACUACUAGUCUUGAAUUUUCUGGAGGUAAGCGGAAUAUGUCAUGUAGCGGUGAAAUGCUUAGAUAUGACAUAGAACACCAAUUGCGAAGGCAGCUUACUACAGGGAUAUUGACACUGAGGCACGAAAGCGUGGGGAUCAAACAGGAUUAGAUACCCUGGUAGUCCACGCCCUAAACGAUGGAUACUCGACAUUUGCGAUACACAGUAAGUGUCUGAGCGAAAGCAUUAAGUAUCCCACCUGGGAAGUACGACCGCAAGGUUG